AGAAUCUUCAGCAAUGGGCGCAAGCCUGACGGAGCGACGCCGCGUGUGCGAUGAAGGCCUUCGGGUUGUAAAGCACUGUCGAGGGGGAGGAAAGCCGCAAGGUCUGACCUAUCCCUGGAGGAAGCACGGGCUAAGUUCGUGCCAGCCGCCGCGGUAAGACGAACCGAGCGAACGUUGUUCGGAAUCACGGGGCUUAAAGGGCGCGUAGGCGGCCUGGUCAGUCAGGGGUGAAAUCUUUCGGCUCAACCGGAAAAGUGCCUUUGAUACUGCCAGGCUUGAGGGAGAUAGGGGCGUGUGGAAAUUCCAGUGGAGCGGUGAAAUGCGUUGAUAUUGGAAGGAACGCCGGUGGCGAAAGCGACACGCUGGGUCUCUUCUGACGCUGAGGCGCGAAAGCUAGGGGAGCGAAC
This 407-nucleotide ribosomal RNA is filed under the name uncultured bacterium. Its description in RNAcentral is "bacterial SSU rRNA". It matches the Rfam family "Bacterial small subunit ribosomal RNA", at positions 358 to 773 of the family's 1533-position model. The record is from RNAcentral.